Molecule: small RNA, 244 nt
Filed under: Sorex araneus (European shrew)
Lineage: Eukaryota; Metazoa; Chordata; Mammalia; Eulipotyphla; Soricidae
Description: 7SK RNA (ENSSARG00000019070.1)
Rfam family: 7SK RNA (bases 1-184)
About the family: 7SK was discovered as an abundant small nuclear RNA in the mid-70s but a possible function has only recently been suggested. Two independent studies have found that 7SK RNA binds the CDK9/cyclin T complex (known as elongation factor P-TEFb).
Source: RNAcentral
AGAUGGGAGGGUGACAUGGCCACAACAUCCGUCAUCCCCUGAUGGCCGGGGUGGACUCGGCCACUCUAGCUGGCUAGGUAGGACCCUUCCUCCCUCACCAUCCCACCUGAGUCCCUCCAGAAGCCGCACGCUCCGUCGAGGAGAUCAGCCUUCCCUGGAGAGAGAUGGGCUGGUCCCCAGUGGAUCCUGCAGAACCUCCAAAAGGCUCCCCAACUGUAGCGAGGGAAAUCCCUUCUCCCUGUAC